Molecule: long non-coding RNA, 3774 nt
Filed under: Sus scrofa (pig)
Lineage: Eukaryota; Metazoa; Chordata; Mammalia; Artiodactyla; Suidae
Description: lncRNA (ENSSSCG00000055150.1)
Source: RNAcentral
UGGUGAGUGAAAUAUUCCUGAGAAUCCAUCCAUUUCAUCUACAUUUUCAAGUUUUUUAGCACAGUUAAUCCUGCCCUCUUUUUAUCCUAUGCCAGACCUGUACUGAUGUCCUUUUCAUUCCUGAUACUGUUUGUAGUAUACAGAUUUAUACCGCUGUUUAUUAUAUAAGGUAUUUGUAUCUUCUUUCUUUUUUAGUUGGCCAGUCUUAACCAGAAGCUUAUUGCUUUUACUGUUUUUUUUCCAAAGAGCCAAUAUUUUUCCUUCCAGUUUUAUUGAGAUAUAAUUGACAUAUAUAGCAUUAUAUAAGUUUUAGGUGUGCAGCAGAAUGAUUGGACUUACAUAAAUCAUGAAAUUAUUACCAUGAUAAUUUUAGUGAGCAUCCAUCAUCUCAUAGAUAAUAAACGAAAAUUUUUUAAAAUAUUUUUCCUUGUGAUAAUAACUCUUAGGAGUUCUUAAAGUCGUCUUAACAGUUAUCAUCUGUGUGUGUGUGUGUGUGUGUGUAUACACAGCAUUGUUAAUUAUAUUAGUCGUGUUGUACAUUACAUCCUUAGUACUGAUUUGCAUUAUAACUGGAAGAUUGUACCUUUGGACCACCUUCACCCAGUUCUCCCUCCCCCAUACCCUCACUUCUGGUAAAUAGGAAUCUGAUCUCUUUUUCUAUGAGGUUGGUUGAUUGGUUGGUUGGUUUUUUUAAGUAUAAUUGACCUACAACACUGUAGUGGUCCCUGGUGUACAACAUAGAACUUUGAUAUUUCUAUACAUCACAGAAUGGUCAGUAUAAGUCUAGCUACCAUCUGUCACCAUACGAAGAUAUUGUUAUUAUUGACUGUAUUCCCCAUGUUGUGCAUUUCAGCCUGGUGACUCAUUUAUUUGGUAUGGAAUUUUGUACCUCUUAAUUUCCCUCACCUAUUUCACUCAUCCCUGUACCCAUCUCCCCUCUGGCAACCACCGGUUUGUUUUCUGAAUAUAUGACUGUUUCUGUUAUAUUUGUUCAUUUGUUUUGUUUUUUAGACUCCACAUACAAGUAAAAUCUUGUAAUAUUUCUCUUUCUCUGUCUGACUUACUUCACUUAGCAUAAUACCCUCUAGGUCUACCCAUGCUGUUGCAAAUGGCAAGAUUUCAUUGUUUUUCAUGGCUAAGUAAUAUUUUAUUAUAUAUAUAUAAGAGGCACUAUUUCAUUUGUUUUUCUUGUUAAAUAUUGUCUGUUUCAUUGAUUACAGCUUUUAAUGAUUUUCUUUUUUCUAGGUUGAGUUUGUCAUUAUUUUUCUUUAUUCUUGUAAAGAGUAUUUAGCUUAGAUUUUUAACUUUCUAGUGUAAUGUAUACUUAAAACUAUAGAUUUAUCUCAUUGUAAUUUAUCUUAUGUUAGUUUUCUGUGCUACAUAAAAAUUUCUACAACUUUACCAGUUUAAAGUAGCACAUUUUUAUUAUUUCACAGUAUCUAUGGUCAAGAAUCUUGGCACAGCUCAGCUGGGUCCUGUGCUCAGAGGCUCACGAGGCUGUAAUCAAAUAGUCACCUGGACUGCCUUCUUACCUGGAGCUUGGGGGUCCUUUUCCAAAAUCAUUAGAUUAUUAACAAAAUGCAGCUCCUUUCAACUGUAGAACUGAGGCCCUCAGCCACUUGAGGCGGCUUCUCUCUCUCUCUGCACUUCACAUCAUGACUGUUUGCUUCUUCAAGACCAGCAGAAGAAAGUAAGUUCUCUUUCAGGGAAGGCCUGACGGGAUUCAUCUGAUGAGAUCAAACACUCCAUCCCCCCACCCACCCCCUCAGAAUAAUCUCUCUUUUGAUGAACACAGAGUCAAUUGAAUAAGGACCUUAAUUGCGUCUUCAAAAUCUUUUCACCUUUGCCAUAUUCUUUUGGUAAGUCACAAGCUAUAGGUUCUGCCUGCAGAAAGGUAUGGAUAUGGGGAUAGGGAGGGAUUUCAGAGGCCAUCUUAGAAUUCUGCCUACCACACACUCCAUUCUACAAGACUUGACAGCUGUUUCAGUUACUCCAGUUUCACAGAAUUUUCUGUUUUGCCCUAUAGAUAUUAUUUGGAAGUAUAAUUUUUUUUUUUAAUUCUUACGGUCAUGCUUUUAGCAUGUGGAAGUUUCCAGGCCAGGGGUUGAAUCAGAGCUUCACCUGCAAGCCUAUGCCACAGCCAGGGCAACACCAGAUCCAAGCCACAUCUGCUCCCAUGCUGCACCUUGUGGUAAUGCAAGAUCCUUAACCCUCUGAGCAAGACCAGGGAUCAAACCUGCAUCUCACAGAGACAUUGUCAGGUCUUUAACCUGCUAAGCCACAAUGGGAACUCCCAGGAACCAUAAUUCUAAUUUCCAAACAAAUAUUCAACUUCUCCCUUAUUAUUGAUUUCUAACAUAAUUACCUUAUAAUCAUAUAUUCUCUGUGAUUUAAAUUCUUUGAAAUUUUUUGACAGUUGCUUUAUGAAUACAUUUAAUUCCCUCUCAAUUUAUAUGUCAUCAUAGAUUUUGUAUCUGGAAGGCAUUACUAUUGUUUUAUAUAGUCAAUAUUCAUGUAGAUUUACCCAUAUAUUUGUUGCCUUUGCUCCCUGCUUGCUGAGUCUUGAACUUCCAUAUGGCAUAAUUUUCUGUUUACCUGAGGAAUACAUUUAGAAUUUACUUCAGUGCAGGUCAGCUGGUUGUAAAUUCACUUUGUUCUUUUCUUUAUUAAUGUGUUUAUUUUGGCUUCAUUCUUGAAGAUUUUUGCUGGGCAUAGAAUUCUCUUGAUGAUGCCUUCUCAUUAUCUUCUGGUUUCCAUUUUGUUACUAUGAAGAAAACAUCUAUCAGUCUUUUGCUCCAUUGAAACUAGUGUCUUUUUUCCUCUGGAUGCUUUCAAGAUUUUCCCUUAAUUUAAUUUAAUUUCCUGCAGCUUAAUUAUUCUGUGUUAAGUGAAAAUUUCAUUGUAUUUUCCCACUGGGUUUUAUGAGGUGUCUUGGAUGAGUUGACAUGUCAGUUCUGGGACAUUCUCAACUAUAAUCUAUUUAAGUAUUACUUCUGCCCAAUAGUCCCUCUCCUGCCUUCUUGGACCCUAAGUAAAACAUGUUAGAACUUCUUGGUGUAUUUCUUUAGCUCUUCAUUUUUCUUCUCAAUGUUCUGUGUUUAUUUUCUGAUCAUCCUAAACAGUUUCUUCUUAUAUAGCUUAUAAAUCACAAAUUCACCUUUCAGCUGUUUUUAACUUGCCAUGAGACUCAUUUAUUGAGUUCAUAAUUUCAGUGUGGUGGGUUAAGGAUCCUGUGUUGUGUUUCUUCAUGUUUGAUCCUAAGUGGGAGCAUUGGUCCAAAUGACCUGUUUUUUCACAUUACCCACCUCUAGAAAUUCAGGGUUAUAUCUUGGUCAUGAAUAAGAUGUAACCUUUGUGCUUUCAUUCUCGACAUCACCCUUGAGUGACUCAAGGAGUUCCAGAUAACCCCCAGAUAGUAUUUUAUCAUUUAUUGUGACUCAUUUAGUCUUUCAAAAAAUGUUUAGUGCCAAGUACACUCUAUCCUUUUUUUUUUUCUCUAAAAAUAAGGUGUCCGUGAUAAACAAGCAUGUAGUGUUUUGUUCUAGGAUAUAGACGCAAGCCAAUUUUUGUAAUAGAUGUUUUUCACACGAGAAAUGAACUGCUUAAAGUUAUGUUCAAGGUUUAACAUAUGUCUUCAGUCUUCUGCAGAGUUAUAGUUUUUGUCACAUUUUCAGAAGAGUCCGUGACUCAAAAAGUUUUAUUAAAGAACCAUUCCUCUGUAUAUUAGAGUAAUUUUAGCUUUUUAUAUUAAUAUAAAGGUUUAAAUUACAAGUC